ACAUUAGAAUUACUGCACUGGGCAGACUAAGUUGGAUCUCCUCUCUUCAGUGAAACCCUCAAUUCCAUCAAAAACUAAAGGGAUGUGGAGAGUGCGGAAAAGGGGCUACUUUGGGAUUUGGUCCUUCCCCUUAAUAAUCGCCGCUGUCUGUGCGCAGAGUGUCAAUGACCCUAGUAAUAUGUCGCUGGUUAAAGAGACGGUGGAUAGACUCCUGAAAGGCUAUGACAUUCGUCUGAGACCAGAUUUUGGAGGUCCCCCCGUGGCUGUGGGGAUGAACAUUGACAUUGCCAGCAUCGAUAUGGUUUCAGAAGUCAAUAUGGAUUAUACCUUGACAAUGUACUUUCAACAAGCCUGGAGAGAUAAGAGGCUGUCCUAUAAUGUAAUACCUUUAAACUUGACUCUGGACAACAGAGUGGCAGACCAGCUCUGGGUGCCUGAUACCUAUUUCCUGAACGAUAAGAAGUCAUUUGUGCACGGAGUGACUGUUAAGAACCGCAUGAUUCGCCUGCAUCCUGAUGGCACUGUCCUUUAUGGACUCAGGUCUGUUGUCCCCAAUUCAAAAUAUAACUUUUCCUGAACAAAAUAGCUGUUACUUUUCAUUGGAUGGAAAUAUUGUGCUAUUUUCCUUAUCGUUCCUCAAUUCUACUAAGAAACAGUUAAGCCUCCUAUCCACUAGACAUUUGAGAGCUUAAGGUAGCAUAGUUACAAAGGGACUUAACCUCAGCUAAGACUACAUUUUUCUGAAUUAUCUUCCAAUAUCAGCUGCUGAUCCUAAAGCUGCUUUCUUUAAGGACUAGGGAUAAACAAUAUCAAAAUAGCUGAGACAUAGGGUUUCUUUAAAAUGCAAAAACUUUGUGAAUGCCAAAUAAUUGUUUGAAUAUGGGAGAUGCUGUGUUUUAUAAAUUGCUUCUGAGCUGCCUUGACGGGAUCAUGGCCCUCUGAUGAUGAGAAAGCUUAUUGUGACCUCUUACCUUCCAAGGAGCAAUCAGACUUGCAAAUAAAUAAAGCAGUCAUCUCAUGUUUAUUAAU
This 1029-nucleotide small RNA is filed under the name Pongo abelii (Sumatran orangutan). Its description in RNAcentral is "retained intron". Lineage: Eukaryota; Metazoa; Chordata; Mammalia; Primates; Hominidae. The record is from RNAcentral.